Non-coding RNA from Pelobates cultripes (western spadefoot toad), 233 nucleotides. The record is from the annotation of a GenBank genome assembly. Lineage: Eukaryota; Metazoa; Chordata; Amphibia; Anura; Pelobatidae.
CAGCUUGAGGCUGUGCUCCAAGACCAAUUUACAGAGGUAGAAAAGUGGAUCGCAAAAAACAAACUCUUCCUGAACACUGACAAAACUGUCACAAUGAUCUUUGGAACAGUACCUAAAUUACACAAAUUACACAAUUCCCACCUAUCAAUCAAAACAAAUUCAAAUGGCACACUGACCGCAGUCCACUCUUUCAAAUACUUGGGUAUGAUGUUAGACCCCAAUCUAUCUUUUGG